CUUCCCUUGUGGAUGUGAAAACGCAGAGGAGUCCCCGGCUUUGCAGUGUGAAAAGAGAGGAUGAGGGCAAUGCCCAGGGCAGCAGUGGUGGUGUCCCCAUUCUUGGAGACACAUGGACAUGGCAUUAAGGGAUGUGGCCUAAUGAUGGGACUCGGUAGGUCAGGCUGAUGGUUGGACUUGGCGAUCAUGAAGUUCUUUCCCAACAUUCAUGAUUCUGUGAUUUUACUGCUAACAGCAAGAGCAAGCCCAGCAGUACAGCCACCAGAGCAUGGCCAACAGGACGAGCCAUUUCAGCAGUGAAAAUCCUGACGGCCCGCUGAGGCUGGCACACAGCCACUGCCAUGCACCGGCAUGGCCGCACCCACCGCGCUGCGGAUGACCUUUGGCUCACACCCCCCGCAGCACAGCUCCACUUCCUGCUCCAGCACUCAUUGCAGGAGCUGCCGAGCUGUGGUCUGCAGAAAGAGGAAGGGAGAGAGCAGCACACAGCCCCUCUGCGAGCACAGAGCCGUCAGCGCCGAGCUGCAGGACUCGAUAGCGAGGGAUUCUCAUAACGAAGCGCAUUCGUUUUCCUUUUGUCACAUCUGCCCACUGGCAUUACUCAUGCUGCAGGUUGGUCACGCGCUGCUCUUGAUCUCCGGUGCUGCUCAGACCGCAAUGCCUGACACUGGCACAGCUCCACGCACAGCAUCUCAGGAUUCUCCCUUCCCAGCUGCAUAAUCCCUCAAACUUCAGAUGCUGAUAAACGGAAAAACAUCUCUGAGGUCUGGGAGCUGCUCACCUUCGUUCCCACCCAUUGACCCCAGCCUGUGCCCAUGGGGGGUCCCAUGGCACCGCAGCUUUCAAGACCAGUCUAAGGAGCAGCCUCCUCGGGCCCUGCUCUUCCCACAGCCACGCUGCUUUGUUUAGAGGAACUGAAACCAACCACGUCAGAGCUCAUUGGCAGCCUGUAACUGCAGCAGGCUAUUUUUCACUCCACCACAUUGUGCAAGGCGGAGAGUGGCCCUGUGGCCACAGCCUCGUUGCCCACUAGCACCCAGCAAGCUCCUCCUGGGGCAGUGUGCUCCCUGUGCUGCACGGAGGAGGGCAGCAGCAGCAGGGCAUGCAGAGGUGAUCACUGCAGGAGCUCUGGUCCAUUAACCCAAUUUGCACACUGAAGCCUCUCACUCUUCUUAUUGCCCUACCACUGUUCUUAAGUAACAUAAAGAAAUAAAUGAACCUUGCCAAUCA
Numida meleagris (helmeted guineafowl) is the source of this 1230-nucleotide long non-coding RNA. RefSeq lists it as uncharacterized. The transcript has 2 exons. NCBI's taxonomy places the organism in Eukaryota, Metazoa, Chordata, Aves, Galliformes, Numididae. The record is from RefSeq and is a predicted model, not a curated record.